AGUGAACGCUGGCGGUAGGCCUAACACGUGCAAGUCGAACGGCAGCACAGUAAGAGCUUGCUCUUACGGGUGGCGAGUGGCGGACGGGUGAGGAAUACAUCGGAAUCUACUUUUUCGUGGGGGAUAACGUAGGGAAACUUACGCUAAUACCGCAUACGACCUACGGGUGAAAGCAGGGGAUCUUCGGACCUUGCGCGAUUAAAUGAGCCGAUGUCGGAUUAGCUAGUUGGCGGGGUAAAGGCCCACCAAGGCGACGAUCCGUAGCUGGUCUGAGAGGAUGAUCAGCCACACUGGAACUGAGACACGGUCCAGACUCCUACGGGAGGCAGCAGUGGGGAAUAUUGGACAAUGGGCGCAAGCCUGAUCCAGCCAUACCGCGUGGGUGAAGAAGGCCUUCGGGUUGUAAAGCCCUUUUGUUGGGAAAGAAAAGCAGCAGGUUAAUACCCCGCUGUUCUGACGGUACCCAAAGAAUAAGCACCGGCUAACUUCGUG
Molecule: ribosomal RNA, 492 nt
Filed under: uncultured bacterium
Lineage: Bacteria
Description: partial 16S ribosomal RNA
Rfam family: Bacterial small subunit ribosomal RNA
Source: RNAcentral